GUAGGUGGCAAGCGUUGUCCGGAAUUAUUGGGGCGUAAAGCGCGCGCAGGCGGUUCUUUAAGUCUGAUGUGAAAGCCCACGGGCUCAACCGUGGAGGGUCAUUGGAAACUGGAGAACUUGAGUACAGAAGAGGAAAGCGGAAUUCCACGUGUAGCGGUGAAAUGCGUAGAGAUGUGGAGGAACACCAGUGGCGAAGGCGGCUUUCUGGUCUGUAACUGACGCUGAGGCGCGAAAGCGUGGGGAGCAAGCAGGAUUAGAUACCCUGGUAGUCCACGCCGUAAACGAUGAGUGCUAAGUGUUAGGGGGUUUCCGCCCCUUAGUGCUGCAGCUAACGCAUUAAGCACUCCGCCUGGGGAGUACGGCCGCAAGGCUG
Molecule: ribosomal RNA, 373 nt
Filed under: uncultured organism
Description: partial 16S ribosomal RNA
Rfam family: Bacterial small subunit ribosomal RNA
Source: RNAcentral